Molecule: ribosomal RNA, 2259 nt
Filed under: Salmonella enterica
Lineage: Bacteria; Pseudomonadati; Pseudomonadota; Gammaproteobacteria; Enterobacterales; Enterobacteriaceae
Description: bacterial LSU rRNA
Rfam family: Bacterial large subunit ribosomal RNA
Source: RNAcentral
AUAGGGGAGCCGGAGGGAAACCGAGUCUUAAUUGGGCGUUAAGUUGCAGGGUAUAGACCCGAAACCCGGUGAUCUAGCCAUGGGCAGGUUGAAGGUUGGGUAACACUAACUGGAGGACCGAACCGACUAAUGUUGAAAAAUUAGCGGAUGACCUGUGGCUGGGGGUGAAAGGCCAAUCAAACCGGGAGAUAGCUGGUUCUCCCCGAAAGCUAUUUAGGUAGCGCCUCGUGAAUUCAUCUCCGGGGGUAGAGCACUGUUUCGGCUAGGGGGCCAUCCCGGCUUACCAACCCGAUGCAAACUGCGAAUACCGGAGAAUGUUAUCACGGGAGACACACGGCGGGUGCUAACGUCCGUCGUGAAGAGGGAAACAACCCAGACCGCCAGCUAAGGUCCCAAAGUCAUGGUUAAGUGGGAAACGAUGUGGGAAGGCCCAGACAGCCAGGAUGUUGGCUUAGAAGCAGCCAUCAUUUAAAGAAAGCGUAAUAGCUCACUGGUCGAGUCGGCCUGCGCGGAAGAUGUAACGGGGCUAAACCAUGCACCGAAGCUGCGGCAGCGAACGUAUCACCCAAGACAACUUUACGGAGUUGACGAUUGACGGAGCGAAGCGACGUCAAAGCGUUCAUUAAAGUCGAGUUGGCUUAGGGAUACGUUCGUUGGGUAGGGGAGCGUUCUGUAAGCCUGUGAAGGUGUGUCGUGAGGCAUGCUGGAGGUAUCAGAAGUGCGAAUGCUGACAUAAGUAACGAUAAAGCGGGUGAAAAGCCCGCUCGCCGGAAGACCAAGGGUUCCUGUCCAACGUUAAUCGGGGCAGGGUGAGUCGACCCCUAAGGCGAGGCCGAAAGGCGUAGUCGAUGGGAAACGGGUUAAUAUUCCCGUACUUGGUGUUACUGCGAAGGGGGGACGGAGAAGGCUAUGUUGGCCGGGCGACGGUUGUCCCGGUUUAAGCGUGUAGGUGUGUGUUCCAGGUAAAUCCGGUUCACUUUAACACUGAGGCGUGACGACGAGGCACUACGGUGCUGAAGCAACAAAUGCCCUGCUUCCAGGAAAAGCCUCUAAGCAUCAGGUAACAUCAAAUCGUACCCCAAACCGACACAGGUGGUCAGGUAGAGAAUACCAAGGCGCUUGAGAGAACUCGGGUGAAGGAACUAGGCAAAAUGGUGCCGUAACUUCGGGAGAAGGCACGCUGACACGUAGGUGAAGUGAUUUACUCAUGGAGCUGAAGUCAGUCGAAGAUACCAGCUGGCUGCAACUGUUUAUUAAAAACACAGCACUGUGCAAACACGAAAGUGGACGUAUACGGUGUGACGCCUGCCCGGUGCCGGAAGGUUAAUUGAUGGGGUCAGCGUAAGCGAAGCUCCUGAUCGAAGCCCCGGUAAACGGCGGCCGUAACUAUAACGGUCCUAAGGUAGCGAAAUUCCUUGUCGGGUAAGUUCCGACCUGCACGAAUGGCGUAAUGAUGGCCAGGCUGUCUCCACCCGAGACUCAGUGAAAUUGAACUCGCUGUGAAGAUGCAGUGUACCCGCGGCAAGACGGAAAGACCCCGUGAACCUUUACUAUAGCUUGACACUGAACAUUGAGCCUUGAUGUGUAGGAUAGGUGGGAGGCUUUGAAGUGUGGACGCCAGUCUGCAUGGAGCCGACCUUGAAAUACCACCCUUUAAUGUUUGAUGUUCUAACGUGGACCCGUUACCCGGGUUGCGGACAGUGUCUGGUGGGUAGUUUGACUGGGGCGGUCUCCUCCUAAAGAGUAACGGAGGAGCACGAAGGUUGGCUAAUCCUGGUCGGACAUCAGGAGGUUAGUGCAAUGGCAUAAGCCAGCUUGACUGCGAGCGUGACGGCGCGAGCAGGUGCGAAAGCAGGUCAUAGUGAUCCGGUGGUUCUGAAUGGAAGGGCCAUCGCUCAACGGAUAAAAGGUACUCCGGGGAUAACAGGCUGAUACCGCCCAAGAGUUCAUAUCGACGGCGGUGUUUGGCACCUCGAUGUCGGCUCAUCACAUCCUGGGGCUGAAGUAGGUCCCAAGGGUAUGGCUGUUCGCCAUUUAAAGUGGUACGCGAGCUGGGUUUAGAACGUCGUGAGACAGUUCGGUCCCUAUCUGCCGUGGGCGCUGGAGAACUGAGGGGGGCUGCUCCUAGUACGAGAGGACCGGAGUGGACGCAUCACUGGUGUUCGGGUUGUCAUGCCAAUGGCACUGCCCGGUAGCUAAAUGCGGAAGAGAUAAGUGCUGAAAGCAUCUAAGCACGAAACUUGCCCCGAGAUGAGUUCU